Pelobates cultripes (western spadefoot toad) is the source of this 174-nucleotide non-coding RNA. The record is from the annotation of a GenBank genome assembly. Lineage: Eukaryota; Metazoa; Chordata; Amphibia; Anura; Pelobatidae.
CACUAGGGGAUGCUGAGGCACUUGGGGACACUGGGAGACAUAUGGACACAGAGACACUGUGUCCCUAGUCCCUGACAGACUUAGGGAGACAUGGGGACACAGACACUAGGGACACAGUGUCUCAGUGUCCAUAUGUCUCCCAGUGUCCCCAAGUCCCUCCGUAUCCCCUAGUGU